GAUGAACGCUGGCGGCGUGCCUAAUACAUGCAAGUCGAACGAACCGACGCUAGGCUCUUGCACCUGGUCAAGGCGAGUGGCGAACGGGUGAGUAAUACGUGGGUAACCUACAUGACUGUGGGGACUAACAGAAGGCAAAGAUAGUACCUACCAAUAAGUACAUAGGAAUACAUCAACAGGUGAAGAAAGUCGGCGCAAGCCAUAUCUAUGAGUUGGACCCGCGGUGCAUUAGCUAGUUGGUAGGGUAAAGGCUUACCAAGGCGACGAUGCAUAGCCGACCUGAGAGGGUGAUCGGCCACACUGGAACUGAGACACGGUCCAAACUCCUACGGGAGGCAGCAGUAGGGAAUCUUCCGCAAUGGGCGAAAGCCUGACGGAGCAACGCCGCGUGAGUGAAGAAGGUCUUCGGAUCGUAAAGCUCUGUUGUUAGGGAAGAACAGAGCAUUAAGUAACUGUGCACCGUUUGACAGUACCUAAUCAGAAAGCCACGGCUAACUACGUG
RNAcentral lists this ribosomal RNA (502 nucleotides) under uncultured bacterium. RNAcentral describes it as "partial 16S ribosomal RNA". It matches the Rfam family "Bacterial small subunit ribosomal RNA", at positions 28 to 507 of the family's 1533-position model. The record is from RNAcentral.